AACGUAGGAGGCAAGCGUUAUCCGGAGUUACUGGGCGUAAAGCGUGCGUAGGUGGUUUGUUAAGUCUGUUGUGAAAGCCCCGGGCUCAACCUGGGAAUGGCAAUGGAUACUGGCAAGCUAGAGUGCGGUAGAGGGUAGUGGAAUUCCCGGUGUAGCGGUGAAAUGCGUAGAGAUCGGGAGGAACACCAGUGGCGAAGGCGGCUACCUGGACCAGCACUGACACUGAGGCACGAAAGCGUGGGGAGCAAACAGG
Molecule: ribosomal RNA, 253 nt
Filed under: uncultured bacterium
Lineage: Bacteria
Description: partial 16S ribosomal RNA
Rfam family: Bacterial small subunit ribosomal RNA
Source: RNAcentral